RNAcentral lists this ribosomal RNA (253 nucleotides) under uncultured bacterium. RNAcentral describes it as "partial 16S ribosomal RNA". It matches the Rfam family "Bacterial small subunit ribosomal RNA", at positions 524 to 776 of the family's 1533-position model. The record is from RNAcentral.
UACGUAGGGUCCGAGCGUUGUCCGGAAUUAUUGGGCGUAAAGAGCUCGUAGGCGGUCUGUCACGUCGGCUGUGAAAACACGGGGCUCAACUCCGUGCCUGCAGUCGAUACGGGCAGACUAGAGUUCGGUAGGGGAGACUGGAAUUCCUGGUGUAGCGGUGAAAUGCGCAGAUAUCAGGAGGAACACCGGUGGCGAAGGCGGGUCUCUGGGCCGAUACUGACGCUGAGGAGCGAAAGCGUGGGGAGCGAACAGG